RNAcentral lists this ribosomal RNA (252 nucleotides) under uncultured bacterium. Its description in RNAcentral is "partial 16S ribosomal RNA". It matches the Rfam family "Bacterial small subunit ribosomal RNA", at positions 524 to 776 of the family's 1533-position model. The record is from RNAcentral.
UACGGAGGGGGCUAGCGUUGUUCGGAAUUACUGGGCGUAAAGCGCACGUAGGCGGCUUUGUAAGUUAGAGGUGAAAGCCCGGGGCUCAACUCCGGAAUUGCCUUUAAGACUGCAUCGCUAGAAUUGUGGAGAGGUAAGUGGAAUUCCGAGUGUAGAGGUGAAAUUCGUAGAUAUUCGGAAGAACACCAGUGGCGAAGGCGACUUACUGGACACAUAUUGACGCUGAGGGCGAAAGCGUGGGGAGCAAACAGG